ACUAGGCUUUUAGUUAUAUCUUCAGUUUUGUGGUGCUUCCUUGAUGGAUUAUAAUUUUCACGAUUACUUAUUUAUUAGUAUUGUAACUCCUUAUUUGAAGAAACAUAUGUUUUCUCACUGGGAGAUUCCAAAGUUAUUAUUUAUGUCGUGGCAUUUGAUUUUGGUUAUCGUAUUGGAUGUUUGAUUAGGAACAUGAAAGGACGAUGGAGAGAAUUGGCUACGUCAAGUAUAAAGGCACCAAAGAAAAGGACUGCACGUUUCUCCUUUGGCUUUCCCAACUCUAGCCAAAACACAGUGCACAUCUAGAUGCAACAUCCAUCAACAGAAUUUCCUUCAACUUUCCUUCAAAGAAGUACUUGAGGAGUUUGCUCUUUUAUGUACAGGGGCUGUGAAUCACACUUUUUGGGAUGCCCUGCAUGUUUGUUCACGAUGGACUGGCUCACAAGAGAUUUCCCGUGGAGCCUAUUGCCAAUGCACCUUAGUUGUGAAAGGUAGCUGCAGCUCAUCAAGCAACACAAGUUCUUCGGACUGUAGUUCAACACAAGUUCUUUGGACUGUGGUUUACGUACUAUUUAAACUUAAUUCAAGUACACUUAGCACCAUAGCUGCCUAUAUUACUCAGCCGGAAGAGGUUAUGACAAAUAUUGCAGCAAUGUCAAACUUUAACAAGAUUUUAAUUGACCUUAUUCAAUUGAGAUUAGUCCUGAAGUUUGAUGGAAUUAGGCCGGGAAAUGGAGAAGAUUAUCAAACCAACGACUCUGACAAUCCAUUCACAUAUUGAAGACCGUCUAUUUUUGAGGGUUGCAUUUUCUGAAGAGGAUGAAGGGCAAGAAUUGGAUGGCUAGGCUUCUGCAGUUAAUUCCCACGGGAACCUCCAUAGUAUGGGAGUAAGGAAAAUCGGAGUCACAACUCUGCCACCAACGGGUUGUUUGCCAGCAGCCAUUACUUUGUUUGGUAGAGGAAGCAAUCAAUGUGUUGCUAGAUUGAACCAAGAUGCUGUUUUCUUCAACAGCAAGCUCAACAGGACAUCGGGAUUCUUUGAAUCAAGGAGAGCUUGUUGUGGGACUGGUACGAUAGAAACAUCAUUCCUUUGCAAUGCCAGGUCAAUAGGGACAUGCUCCAAUGCCACAGAGUACGUCUUUUGGGACGGAUUCCAUCUCUAAUGAGAAAUUAGCUCAAAGUCUGCUGCAGCAGGGCUUUGAUCUCAUCUCUUAAUGCCUGAAAGCUGCGGAAAUCGUCUACUUUUCUAGUUCAGUCAUUUAGUGAUACUGCUCUAUAGUUGCUGUUGGAGUUGCAUCAAGUUUAAGCUAUAUAUUAUGUCUUGUGAAGUAGUAGUUAUAAACUAUUUAAGGGGCUGCUGAUAGCCUUCCUAAGUUCAUAUAUGUUUGCCAAGAUUUUACCUACUGUUACAUAAUAAUCAGCAAAAAGACUAUUAAUA
Long non-coding RNA from Lycium barbarum (goji berry), 1438 nucleotides. RefSeq lists it as uncharacterized. The record is from RefSeq and is a predicted model, not a curated record. The transcript has 7 exons. NCBI's taxonomy places the organism in Eukaryota, Viridiplantae, Streptophyta, Magnoliopsida, Solanales, Solanaceae.